RNAcentral lists this ribosomal RNA (433 nucleotides) under uncultured rumen bacterium. RNAcentral describes it as "bacterial SSU rRNA". It matches the Rfam family "Bacterial small subunit ribosomal RNA", at positions 958 to 1392 of the family's 1533-position model. The record is from RNAcentral.
AACGCGAAGAACCUUACCAAGUCUUGACAUCCCGGUGACGAAUGCAGAGAUGUGUUUUCCCUUCAGGGCACUGGAGACAGGUGGUGCAUGGUUGUCGUCAGCUCGUGUCGUGAGAUGUUGGGUUAAGUCCCGCAACGAGCGCAACCCUUAUGCUUAGUAGCCAGCGGCAAGGCCGGGCACUCUAGGCAGACUGCCAGGAAUAACCUGGAGGAAGGCGGGGAUGACGUCAAAUCAUCAUGCCCCUUAUGACUUGGGCUACACACGUGCUACAAUGGCGCUGACAAAGGGAAGCAAACCCGCGAGGGGGAGCAAAUCCAGAAACAGCGUCCCAGUUCGGACUGUAGUCUGCAACCCGACUAUACGAAGCUGGAAUCGCUAGUAAUCGCAGAUCAGAAUGCUGCGGUGAAUACGUUCCCGGGUCUUGUACACACCG